RNAcentral lists this microRNA (23 nucleotides) under Gadus morhua (Atlantic cod). RNAcentral describes it as "gmo-miR-135b-5p". Its record names the gene gmo-miR-135b-5p. The record is from miRBase by way of RNAcentral. Lineage: Eukaryota; Metazoa; Chordata; Actinopteri; Gadiformes; Gadidae.
UAUGGCUUCUUAUUCCUAUCUGA